AUGGCUUACUAUUCAGAUCAUCAGGCUUAUGCGAGCAACACUACAAAUAGCACGGAAAGUGUUCAAGAACUGAUAGGUAAGAUUUUCCAUCGAUUAGAUGAUUUAGCUCGGCAGCGAGAAGUAGUUUUUGAGGAUAGGCCUAGUUCUUACGAUCCUUAUUCCAGAGGCCAUCCUUAUGUUGCUCCUACUUGCCAUAUUUGCGGAUUUCAGGGCCAUUCGCCCGCUGAAUGUCAGCGUGGCUACUCUCACAUUCCAGAUUGUUUUGGCAUGAGCUUCACUCAAGAGCAUAGCUCAUACCAAAACAAUUACUCAUAUGGGUGGCCUGAAAACCCGAAUAUGUCAUAUAGGAGCAACAACCCUGAGAUCUCACCGUUUGCUUCUAGUAAUCAUAUGCAGGGAUCUAGGUAUGAAGAGGAGAGCCACAACUAUGCUCCACAACAGUCUUAUUCAACUCCUAUUCAUAUACUUCAGCACCAGGAGAUGUUUCCAAUGGAGUUAAAUGGUCCUACAUUUGGUCAACCAACACCUUCAACACAAGUGCCUACUCAAGAUGAGUUCGAUGACAUAGACAAGCUCGCACUUUUGAGUCUCGAGUUCACUUGGAGUGCCGAGGAUGAUCCUAUUAGGAAGGUUAUACUAGAUGAAAUGAAAAAGAUCAAGAGUGGAAAAGAGCUAGUGGAAGAAGUAAGGAAGAUUGAGAAGAACAUCAACGCUGGCAGCACUAUUUCUUCACAGCUAGAGCUGAAUGUUGCUGAGAUUCCCCUUGAUACAUGUGAGGUUCCCACACCGUCACAUCCAGUUGAGCAAGAUAGCAAGAGUCCAGAGGAAGAAAGACCUCAGAUUGAAGAAGAUGAACUAGAAGACAAGGAACAAGAUGAUCAAGAGCUGCAAUUCCCAAGUGAUCAAGUUGAAGACUCAUCAUCUACUACUCCUGAAGAAGUACAAGAAGCUGCUGUAGAUGAAGAUGAAGAACCUGAGAUUCAUUUGCCUAUUGUCAUACCAGAGCGUGAUGUGUCAGGUUUAUCUAAUCCUCUUAAUGACAUGUCUUCAUAUGAUUUGUUUGCUUCUACCUUGCAUUGCAUGAUGCCAUCCGUUAAAGUAGAUUUGAAAAAGUAUUUGCUUGGAUAUGAUCAUAUAUACCCUGUUAGUGGCAUUACUCACAUUAAUGAUGAUCACAGUUACUUUCCUCGUGCUAGACCUAUGCUUAAUGAAACAUAUCAUUCUUAUGCUAAUCUUGAGCUUAAUGAAAAAUAUCAUCCUCAUGUUAGUGUUGACUUUGCUGAUUUCUACCAUCCUAAACAUGUGCUUUAUAGCUAUGCUUAUGUAGUUGGAUAUUCGAUUGAUGACUUGGAGGGUAUUAUCCCUACCACUUGUAUUGUCUCUUUCGUUGAGUGCUCUUUCAGGUUCUUGCUUAUGCACGAAUCACUACAUGCUGACCAAGUUCGAGAUGCCAUUCCCUGGGACCCCGGUGGACCCAUGGCAUGGGGAUGA
This 1491-nucleotide ribosomal RNA is filed under the name Triticum aestivum (bread wheat). RNAcentral describes it as "partial small subunit ribosomal RNA". Lineage: Eukaryota; Viridiplantae; Streptophyta; Magnoliopsida; Poales; Poaceae. The record is from RNAcentral.